Passer domesticus (house sparrow) is the source of this 1193-nucleotide long non-coding RNA. RefSeq lists it as uncharacterized. The record is from RefSeq and is a predicted model, not a curated record. Lineage: Eukaryota; Metazoa; Chordata; Aves; Passeriformes; Passeridae. The transcript is spliced from 4 exons.
AGCAUGGAUUAUGAGGAAAGCAAACCUUUUAUGAGGUUUAUGGGUAUAUUAGAAGAAUGCCUUCAUGAGGUUUAUGGGGUUUAUGUGGAGGCUGCUUUGUAAUGAGGGUGCUUUUAUGAGGUUUGUAGAGUUUAUGAGGAGAGCAGCAUUAUAAGGAUCAUGGGGGUUCUGAAGACAAAGUCAUUUUCAGGUGAUUGUAUAUAUGCUUUUAUUUAUGAUAUUUAUAGGCUUUACGAGGACAGGGUCUCUAAGAAUUUUAUGGUAUUGAGGAGGAGAGCACCAAUAUGAGGUUUAUGGAGUUUAGGAAGAGAGUAUCCUUAUGACCUUUAUGGCCUUCAUGGUAUUAAAGGCCUUUUUGAAUUUUAUGGAAUUGAUGAAGAGAAUGUCUUUAUGACAAUAAGGGGGUUUAUGAAGAGAGUGUCUUUAAGAAAUUUAUGGCCUUCAUGAGGAGACAGUCCCCACAAGAAAAGUGCUUUUAUGAUAUUUGUGGGGCUUAUGAGGAGAGUGCCUUUAUGAGGUUUAUUUGGAUUAUGAGGUUUGUGAGGAGAGUCCCUCUUCACAUAAGCCCCAUAAACCUCAUAAAAUAUUCUCCUCAUAGAGGACCUCUCCUCAGAAACCACAUAAACCUCAUAAGGGUGCUGUUCUCAGAAACCCCAUAAUCCUCACAAAGGCACUCUUCUCCUUAAGACAUCCGCCUCAUAAACACCAUAAACCUCAUAAAUGUACUGUCCUAAUGCAGGUGAUUUCCUCAUAAGCCCCAUAAGCUUCCUAAAGGAGAUCUCCUCAUAAACAUCAGGAACCACAUAAAGAGUCUGCAAUUGCUGGGGAGCCCUGUUUCACAGCAAAGACCUGGAGAACCCUUCCUGGCAACUGGGAAAAUCCCACCCAUUGUGACCACUCAUAGAUGAGGUCUCCAGUUCACCCAAAACAGGGGUCCAGCUUUUAUAGACCCAAAUCAACAGAUGCCUGAACAUGAACAAUCGGAUUCAAUGUGCACACGGCAGCCUACCCAGUCCCCACCAUCUGUUACCUUGCAGCAGCAGCCACCAGGAGCACUUGCAGAGGGAAAGUGCACAGGCAACAGGAGAAGAUGGUUAAUGGCUUCUAUUUACCACCUUCUGACAUUUGUCAAAUGCAGUUUCCAGGAUCAGCCUGAUUUUUUUCAAGCUAUCAUGGCCUAAAUAAGAGCCACC